GUUUGAUCCUGGCUCAGAUUGAACGCUGGCGGCAUGCCUUACACAUGCAAGUCGAACGGCAGCACGGAGCAAUCCUGGUGGCGAGUGGCGAACGGGUGAGUAAUAUAUCGGAACGUGCCCAGUCGUGGGGGAUAACGUAGCGAAAGCUACGCUAAUACCGCAUACGAUCUAUGGAUGAAAGCGGGGGAUCGCAAGACCUCGCGCGAUUGGAGCGGCCGAUAUCAGAUUAGGUAGUUGGUGAGGUAAAGGCUCACCAAGCCGACGAUCUGUAGCUGGUCUGAGAGGACGACCAGCCACACUGGGACUGAGACACGGCCCAGACUCCUACGGGAGGCAGCAGUGGGGAAUAUUGGACAAUGGGCGAAAGCCUGAUCCAGCAAUGCCGCGUGAGUGAUGAAGGCCUUAGGGUUGUAAAGCUCUUUUACCCGAGAUGAUAAUGACAGUAUCGGGAGAAUAAGCUCCGGCUAACUCCGUG
RNAcentral lists this ribosomal RNA (475 nucleotides) under uncultured bacterium. Its description in RNAcentral is "bacterial SSU rRNA". It matches the Rfam family "Bacterial small subunit ribosomal RNA", at positions 11 to 507 of the family's 1533-position model. The record is from RNAcentral.